This 429-nucleotide ribosomal RNA is filed under the name Bacteroidota bacterium. Its description in RNAcentral is "Bacteroidetes bacterium partial 16S ribosomal RNA". It matches the Rfam family "Bacterial small subunit ribosomal RNA", at positions 355 to 776 of the family's 1533-position model. Lineage: Bacteria; Pseudomonadati; Bacteroidota. The record is from RNAcentral.
UAGGGAAUCUUCCGCAAUGGACGCAAGUCUGACGGAGCAACGCCGCGUGAGUGAAGAAGGAUUUCGGUUCGUAAAACUCUGUUGUUAGAGAAGAACAGCGCAUAGAGUAACUGUUAUGCGUGUGACGGUAUCUAACCAGAAAGCCACGGCUAACUACGUGCCAGCAGCCGCGGUAAUACGUAGGUGGCAAGCGUUGUCCGGAUUUAUUGGGCGUAAAGCGAGCGCAGGCGGUCAAUUAAGUCUGAUGUGAAAGCCCCCGGCUCAACCGGGGAGGGUCAUUGGAAACUGGUUGACUUGAGUGCAGAAGAGGAGGGUGGAAUUCCAUGUGUAGCGGUGAAAUGCGUAGAUAUAUGGAGGAACACCGGUGGCGAAAGCGGCUCUCUGGUCUGUAACUGACGCUGAGGCUCGAAAGCGUGGGGAGCGAACAGG